AUUGAACGCUGGCGGCAUGCUUUACACAUGCAAGUCGAACGGCAGCGCGGGCUUCGGCCUGGCGGCGAGUGGCGAACGGGUGAGUAAUACAUCGGAACGUGCCUAGUAGUGGGGGAUAGCUCGGCGAAAGCCGGAUUAAUACCGCAUACGACCUGAGGGUGAAAGCGGGGGAUCUUCGGACCUCGCGCUAUUGGAGCGGCCGAUGGCAGAUUAGCUAGUUGGUGGGGUAAAGGCCUACCAAGGCGACGAUCUGUAGCUGGUCUGAGAGGACGACCAGCCACACUGGGACUGAGACACGGCCCAGACUCCUACGGGAGGCAGCAGUGGGGAAUUUUGGACAAAGGGCGAAAGCCUGAUCCAGCAAUGCCGCGUGUGUGAUGAAGGCCUUCGGGUUGUAAAGCACUUUUGGCGGGAACGAAAAGGACUGUGCCAAUACCACGGUUCGAUGACGGUACCCGCAGAAUAAGCACCGGCUAACUACGUG
This 484-nucleotide ribosomal RNA is filed under the name uncultured bacterium. Its description in RNAcentral is "partial 16S ribosomal RNA". It matches the Rfam family "Bacterial small subunit ribosomal RNA", at positions 29 to 507 of the family's 1533-position model. The record is from RNAcentral.